RNAcentral lists this ribosomal RNA (487 nucleotides) under uncultured bacterium. RNAcentral describes it as "bacterial SSU rRNA". It matches the Rfam family "Bacterial small subunit ribosomal RNA", at positions 23 to 507 of the family's 1533-position model. The record is from RNAcentral.
CUCAGAUUGAACGCUGGCGGAAUGCUUUACACAUGCAAGUCGAACGGUAGAGGGGGCAACCCCUUGAGAGUGGCGAACGGGUGAGUAAUAUAUCGGAACGUGCCCGAGUCGUGGGGGAUAACGUAGCGAAAGUUACGCUAAUACCGCAUACGAUCUAAGGAUGAAAGCGGGGGAUCGCAAGACCUCGCGCGAUUGGAGCGGCCGAUAUCAGAUUAGGUAGUUGGUGGGGUAAAGGCUCACCAAGCCAACGAUCUGUAGCUGGUCUGAGAGGACGACCAGCCACACUGGAACUGAGACACGGUCCAGACUCCUACGGGAGGCAGCAGUGGGGAAUUUUUGGACAAUGGACGCAAGUCUGAUCCAGCCAUUCCGCGUGCAGGAUGAAGGCCCUCGGGUUGUAAACUGCUUUUGUACGGAACGAAAAGGUUUCUCUUAAUACGAGGAGCUCAUGACGGUACCGUAAGAAUAAGCACCGGCUAACUACGUG